Small nuclear RNA from Abrus precatorius (Indian licorice), 127 nucleotides. Lineage: Eukaryota; Viridiplantae; Streptophyta; Magnoliopsida; Fabales; Fabaceae. The record is from RefSeq and is a predicted model, not a curated record.
GUGUUCGUGAAAAAGAGAGAUGGUUGGCAUCUCCCUGACAGGGACGGGAAUAGCCUAAGGCUUUGUUGUUAACACAUCCUGUUAAUGCUAACUAUCCCUCGAAGGUGGAUCUCUAUAACCCAAUUUU